Molecule: long non-coding RNA, 507 nt
Filed under: Felis catus (domestic cat)
Lineage: Eukaryota; Metazoa; Chordata; Mammalia; Carnivora; Felidae
Description: lncRNA (ENSFCAG00000043761.2)
Source: RNAcentral
CGCUACGCGGGCGGAGGUGCGGAGCCCCGCGCGGAGCGGGAGUCCGCUCCGGGAGCGCGGCAGGAGGCUGAGGCGAGGCCCAGCAGCAGCGAGACCGCCGGCCACGAAACCGGGGAGGCCCGCAGCGGGCUUUGGGGGACCUGAACAUCUCCGCGCCCAGGUAGGCAUCUCGGGCGCCAAGCCCGCCUCCCUGCGGCGGUGUCACCUGCCUCGAGGCCGUCUCGCCUGCUGCCGCCUGGCUGGGAAGGACGGUGGACGCCGCUGGCGCGUGCCCGAGCACGCACGCAAGGAGUUGUUCCAGACAUCCAUGAACAAGCCAGGACGAAGCCCUUUCCCGCCAAACCACUACGGCUGGGGAAUAAGCGGUGCCUGCCCCAACUCUGGGAGCGGGAACCCGGGAGAAGACUUGAGUGGCUCUGGAAAAACUGGCAGGAAUUUCCUUGUCGUGAGAAGACCGACGAGCGUCUGCAGAGGAGAAGACAACUGCAAACAGACUUUGGGCCAGGG